Non-coding RNA from Macaca mulatta (Rhesus monkey), 1193 nucleotides. The record is from RefSeq and is a predicted model, not a curated record. NCBI's taxonomy places the organism in Eukaryota, Metazoa, Chordata, Mammalia, Primates, Cercopithecidae.
AAGGGCCAAGUUUGCGCUCCUCCCGGAAUCGUUUGAGAGAAGGACAAACUUUUGAGAGGAUGGAAAUCUAGAGGAGCCGGUCUGCAGUAGACAAUUCUUCCCCACUCCCAGCCAUCUGCAAGCCACAGUCAGCCUGUCCCUGCUCCCGAAAAUGGAAUUGCUGAUGCCCUCAAGGCUGUUACUCUCCCAGGGUGAGUGAGAGUGAGGUCAAUGACGCCAGGUCGGAGCCUCAAACUCUUAAAUAAGCAAAGCAUAUUUCCCUAUUCCUGAUGCAUUUAGGGGUCAUCUAUCCCUUGGAAUGGAGAGGCUGGCGAUUCUGGCUGGUGGCUAUCUUUCCACAGAACACCCCUGAUUAGCCAGGCCCACCGCCAUCCACAUCUGCUUGGCAAAGAAGGAAGGUAGCUUGUUCCAGACCUUGGUGAGCGGCUGCAGACUGCCUGCCUAGAACAGCCUCCUGACUCCAGCCUGGCAGGGAAGGAAGGAACCUGACUUGCUUUGCAGGAUCUGGAAUCUCAGCGCGUGGAGCUGAGAGCCGCAGUUGCAUCCUGGAGCCUGAUGCUAGAAGCAGCUUCUGUCUCUGGGUUCUUGCUGCCAUGGCCUCUGCUCUGUUCAGUUUGCUGUUGUGUUUUUCUCCCCCAUGUUGGGGUGGUGGGGUACAGGGAAAUAAAAUGUUUUCUCCCAGGCCCUUAAUCCUUCCCCAUGCCUCCAUCAGCCUCAGAGCUGCUGACAGUCAUGAACUGCAGCUUCCAGCUCUGCCCAUAAGCUACUCAAAGCAAAUUCAAAUUCUUUUCUGGCCAGGAGGAAGGGCAGAGGCUCCCUCCUUCCUCAAGCCUCCGUGGCUCAUUGAUCCAUUUUGAGGGCAUUUGGGGGUCAAAAUUGAAACCAGAUUGCUUCGGUUUGUAUAAAAUUAGCAUUUCUUAUCACACCAAAGGCCACACCUGUUCUCUGCCCUCACAAACCAGUGAGGAUGUAAAGGUUUGUUGAGGUGGAGGAACAGAAGUGAAAUGAACAAUCUGCUCCAUUUAGAAGUCAGUCGCUUUGGCUGUUCAUUCCACUAAUAUUUAUCUAGUACCUACUCUGUGCCAAGCAUUGCCUCUACCUCAGUUUGCCACAAAUAUGAAAAAAAAAUUUUUGCAACGGUGAGACUUCAGUGUGUUGUGGACCAAUAUACAAAUAAAACAAUGGAAAAGAAA